AGAAUCAACGCUGGCGGCGUGCCUAACACAUGCAAGUCGCACGAGAAAGGGGAGCAAUCCCUGAGUACAGUGGCGCACGGGUGAGUAACACGUGAAUAAUCUACCUCCGAGUGGGGAAUAACUGAGAGAAAUCUUAGCUAAUACCGCAUAAUACCCACGGGUCAAAGCAGCAAUGCGCUUGGAGAGGAGUUCGCGGCAGAUUAGUUAGUUGGCGGGGUAAUGGCCCACCAAGACGAUGAUCUGUAUCCGGCCUGAGAGGGCGCACGGACACACUGGAACUGAAACACGGUCCAGACUCCUACGGGAGGCAGCAGUGGGGAAUUUUGCGCAAUGGGGGAAACCCUGACGCAGCAACGCCGCGUGGAGGAUGAAGCCCCUUGAGGUGUAAACUCCUUUCGAUCGGGAAGAUAAUGACGGUACCGAUAUAAGAACGCCCGGCUAACUUCGUGCCAGCAGCCGC
RNAcentral lists this ribosomal RNA (460 nucleotides) under uncultured bacterium. Its description in RNAcentral is "SSU rRNA". It matches the Rfam family "Bacterial small subunit ribosomal RNA", at positions 26 to 518 of the family's 1533-position model. The record is from RNAcentral.